AAGAGUUUCUUGAGGGUGGAAGACAUGAAGUAAGGCCUCUCGGCCGAGCCGUCAUUCCUCUCCAGGUCCUCCACUGUGGAGAGAGCAGGAAGAAGGCAUUCCUGGCCGAGGUGCAGAAAUUGGUGCCGUAGAUGGCAAUCUGGACAGGCACCAGAAGCAGCAUUUGAGACAGGUCAUGAGGCACUUGGCAAACUUGUUCUCUGCAGCUGGAAGAGAAGGGAAGGGAU
This 227-nucleotide long non-coding RNA is filed under the name Homo sapiens (human). Its description in RNAcentral is "HSALNT0255700". Lineage: Eukaryota; Metazoa; Chordata; Mammalia; Primates; Hominidae. The record is from RNAcentral.